UACGUAGGGUCCGAGCGUUGUCCGGAAUUAUUGGGCGUAAAGGGCUCGUAGGCGGUGUGUCGCGUCGGCCGUGAAAACCUGCAGCUUAACUGUGGGCUUGCGGUCGAUACGGGCAUCACUGGAGUUCGGCAGGGGAGACUGGAAUUCCUGGUGUAGCGGUGAAAUGCGCAGAUAUCAGGAGGAACACCGGUGGCGAAGGCGCACACCUGGCCCGAUACUGACGCUGAGGCGCGAAAGCUAGGGGAGCAAACGGG
This 254-nucleotide ribosomal RNA is filed under the name uncultured bacterium. RNAcentral's name for it is "partial 16S ribosomal RNA". It matches the Rfam family "Bacterial small subunit ribosomal RNA", at positions 524 to 776 of the family's 1533-position model. The record is from RNAcentral.